RNAcentral lists this ribosomal RNA (468 nucleotides) under uncultured bacterium. RNAcentral's name for it is "partial 16S ribosomal RNA". It matches the Rfam family "Bacterial small subunit ribosomal RNA", at positions 34 to 507 of the family's 1533-position model. The record is from RNAcentral.
UCCUCCCUCUGGCGGCGUGCUUAACACAUGCAAGUCGAACGGAAAGGCCCUGCUUUUGUGGGGUGCUCGAGUGGCGAACGGGUGAGUAACACGUGAGUAACCUGCCCUUGACUUUGGGAUAACUUCAGGUAACUGGGGCUAAUACCGGAUAGGAGCUCCUGCUGCAUGGUGGGGGUUGGAAAGUUUCGGCGGUUGGGGAUGGACUCGCGGCUUAUCAGCUUGUUGGUGGGGUAGUGGCUUACCAAGGCUUUGACGGGUAGCCGGCCUGAGAGGGUGACCGGCCACAUUGGUACUGAGAUACGGACCAGACUCCAACGGGAGGCAGCAGGGGGGAAUAUUGCACAAUGGGACGAAGCCUGAGGCAGCAACGCCGCGUGCGGGAUGACGGCCUUCGGGUUGUAAACCGCUGUCGCCUGUGACGAAGCGUGAGUGACGGUAAUGGGUAAAGAAGCACCGGCUAACUACGUG